AGUCACUUGGCUCUCUGAACACAUCCAGCUAAUUCUCUGCACACAUCGCAAGAGAUAUAACAGAGGCAAGCUGGAAGCAGAUGAGAGGCAAAACGACUCCAAGUCGGAGACGCGGAGAUGGGAGAAAAGAAAACUGUUCAACACGUUCACAGCAAAUGGAAUCACAGCAUUUUCCUCUGCUUCUGCUCGCGUGCAUUUAGCCAUUAGGGGUUCCCCAAACAUCAGCUUUCAGAACUAAUGCCGAAGACCGGGAGGAGAAGAUCAAGGCUUCUUUCUCCUCUGCCUUCCUUUGGCAAUCACGUCCUUGAGGUGAUGUGAGCUGGCCUGUCUUACACCAGCAAUCACCUUGUGGAUGGAAGUCGGAGUUUUUGAACAUGAAGUAGAAAAUGACUCCAUAUGUUGCUGGAACAGCAAGAUUAAAAAGAGAAGACAAUAGCUUACAAGAAAGAUGCUUGUCCAUCAUUUGACGGGCAUCAGGACGUUGAAUGGAGUCUCAAUCAGACAAAAUAUAACAGAACGUGAACAUGUGAAGUAUCAUAUGCAAGUGGACAGGAAGAGAAUGUAAAAAUACUUCAAAGACCAGUGUUUCAAAUUUUAAACAGAAAGGUGCAGCUGGUCUGUAUUUCUCAGAUGGCUUUUCAAAAUGCAUUUGCUGAAACUAUUUUUAAGGCCAAACUGUUGGAAUCUUCUUGAGAGCUGUUGGUUAUUGUAGCCAGUCCUGAAUUAGGCAAAAAUACAAAGAGCUACAGAGGCUGUGUGUGGUGUUCCACUAAAAGCAACUGUAUAUGUAUGGGUACAUGCCUGUAUACAUGUAGGUACACGUCUUUGCACAUAGAUGUGUGUUUAUAUGCAUAUGAGCUUGUGUGUAUACACAUGUGUAGAUGGAUUCAUGUGUGUGCACACAGUUGUAUACUCCCAUCUGUGCUUGUGCACAAACAUCCAUGGCUGUGUUCUCAGGAAAGGGGGCACUGUGUGUUCAUGUGGUACCAUUACUCCCCAGAA
Peromyscus maniculatus bairdii (prairie deer mouse) is the source of this 1002-nucleotide non-coding RNA. NCBI's taxonomy places the organism in Eukaryota, Metazoa, Chordata, Mammalia, Rodentia, Cricetidae. The record is from RefSeq and is a predicted model, not a curated record.